AACGAACGCUGGCGGCAUGCCUAACACAUGCAAGUCGAACGAGACCUUCGGGUCUAGUGGCGCACGGGUGCGUAACGCGUGGGAAUCUGCCCUUGGGUUCGGAAUAACAGUUAGAAAUGACUGCUAAUACCGGAUGAUGUCUUCGGACCAAAGAUUUAUCGCCCAAGGAUGAGCCCGCGUAAGAUUAGCUAGUUGGUGGGGUAAUGGCCCACCAAGGCGACGAUCUUUAGCNGGUCUGAGAGGAUGAUCAGCCACACUGGGACUGAGACACGGCCCAGACUCCUACGGGAGGCAGCAGUGGGGAAUAUUGGACAAUGGGCGAAAGCCUGAUCCAGCAAUGCCGCGUGAGUGAUGAAGG
This 358-nucleotide ribosomal RNA is filed under the name uncultured bacterium. RNAcentral's name for it is "bacterial SSU rRNA". It matches the Rfam family "Bacterial small subunit ribosomal RNA", at positions 29 to 414 of the family's 1533-position model. The record is from RNAcentral.